This is a non-coding RNA of Anas platyrhynchos (mallard), 5635 nucleotides long. Lineage: Eukaryota; Metazoa; Chordata; Aves; Anseriformes; Anatidae. The record is from RefSeq and is a predicted model, not a curated record.
UUCCUUGUUUUCUUUUGUAAACACCUACCUGAGAAGGAUGCAAAGCUUAAUGCCACUUCUAAAAAUAUUCGGACAAAACAGGUUUUCUAAAACAGUUCUGGAAAUGCUAAAUUUGGUUGUUGUUUAUCUGGGGGAGGGGGUCACAUCUGCUUUAUUAUUUUUUCCCCUAAGGCAAAGCAGAAGCAGUGUCAGUACCGACCGCUGCUCAUCCUUAUCCUUUCUGCUGCUGCACUUUGAAGAGCCCAUCAAUAAUCCUACGGGCAGCAGCUUUCCAGGGAGAUGGCCCCACAGAAAAACAGGAAUCCCUUAUCGGAGGGCAGGAAAUUCUAUUUUUACACGGGAGUUCAGAUUAAAAAUAAAAAGGGAAGAUCUGCACAGGACUCGCGGGCUAAAAUUAAACCUUUAUAUUCUCCUCUCCCCUGCUGCUCUCCGUGUGGGGAAGGCAGCGAUGCAUGCCAAAAGGAGGCUGCUGGUGCUGGCUGCGCCUGGUGGGCUUUGCCCUGCUGCAGUUAGCACAGCUGAGCAGCAGGCUUUAGGCUUUAUGAGCGUGCAUUAAUUAAAGCACCCUGAAUCUCUGCUGGUGGCACCUUGCUCAUUCUGCUGGGGAGCCGCCAGCUCCUUCCAGGCUUCCCUGCCUUGGCUCUGCAGAGCUGCACCGUGUCCCGAAGGCCUUUUUGCUCGGCUUGCAAAAAACAAUUAGCACAUACCCAGCGAAGUCACCCUGCACGGGGUGGCAUCUCCUCGCUGAUCACGCCGAUGUUUUUUUAUCCAUGUGCGGUUUAUGCACGUGUGUCAUCUGCCGCCUGCCUGGGAAAGCCCCUUGCAGAUGCAAAUGGGAAGCAGGCAGGUUUCUGAGCUCAGCUGGGGGCUUUUCACGCUACCGGAGUUUCUGUGAGAGAUGCUGUGACCCUGCUGGGGGCUUUAAACAGCAGAAAAGGGUUCUUGCUGAUAUCCCCUGCUGGCUUCAUCAGCGCCCAGCCAGGAGCGUGUGCUCUGGGGCUUGCAGCGCAGCAGGUUACGCUGACACAGCCCCAAAAAGCAAGGAGUCACCGAAUGUCAGAGAGAGGGAUGCAGGAGGUGUUGGGCUAGGACAGCACGGGCAGCCUGGGGGUCUGCAGGCCCAGCAGCAGCUCCUGUGCUCCCCCGGUGCCACACAGUGCCCCUGCACAACACCAGCUCCCAUUUCUUCCUUCUGAGAGGGAAAAAGCCAAAGCUGGUCUGAGUGUGAGGACCCAGAAGUGCUCUCCUGCAGCAAAGCUUUGCUCCGAGCCUUUGGCUCACAGCCUCCUUCAAGGCAGGGAAGCCCAGAACAAACAAAACAGCUCAGGGCAGCCUGAGGUAGCCAAAUGGCCACCGGACAGAGGCCUGGCUUGCCAGGUGAGCGAGGGUUUGGGAACAGAACUGUUUCACCUGUGCUGCCCUGCCCCUACUUAGCACAAUCACAGGAAGGUUGGAAAAGGGAGGAGGGUGCAUUUUUUUUUUUCCUUCCCUCUAUGGAGAGCCAGGUUGUGUGGAGGUAUGAGCGCUAAGCACAGGGUGGAUAGGAGGCUGUACUUCCCCGCUUCCCUUGCGGGAGGAGGAGGGCAGAGCGGCCUGCGAAGAGGAAUUGCUACGAGCAACCACAAACAAAGCCUGGAACGGCUCCUCUCAGGUUCUCCCAGGAGCUUUCAAAUUCUGACCCGGGGCAGGGAAGCGCUGCCAAGACUGCGAUGAUAUGGUGCUUGGAGCGAGGUGUGUCAAUGAUGAAGGGGGAGGGAAAAGCCUCGGCCUUGCCAAUCCAUAGGCCGCGGGGGGGGCUGUGCUCUGCUCUGUGCUGUCUGAGGCCUGAACGAGCAUCCUCCCGAGCGUCCUCCCUCAUGGACAUGGGACUUUUAGGACUGAGAAAGUGCUGGAGCUGAAGGGCUGGGGCGAUGGAACCAGCAGAGCCUGAAGGCAGGCCUCACUGCCUCAGCAGCUGCUGUUCCUGCGAGGUGCUUUCAGAGAGAGGCACCAUGAGCGUCGCAGGGCUGCACAGACAGCUGCAGGCCUGCUGUGAUGGUUAUUGAGACCGUCAGAGGCCCGAGGACUGUGGUCCUGGACGCUUAAAGACACUGCAUUACUUUGUUUUGUAGCCUUCUCUGAGGGCUGCAGUUGGCGAGAUGAGGUGCGUAUGGCUUUGUCAAGGGAUGGCUGCUGGUGGUAGCACGUGCCCCCUGCCGCAGGCCUCGGCUGAGGAAUGUGGGAACCAGGGAAAAAAAAAAAAAAGGUCCUUGUGUACAGCAGUGUUUGGUCCCUGGGAAGGACGCAGCCAUUUUAGGGCAUAAUCUGAGCCGUGGUUUCUUGGAAGGCACGAUGGCCAUCGCCGUCCUCUUCCCAUUUGGCAAAAAAAUCCAAGGGAACUUUAAAGAUAGUUGGAUGUGAAUGCUGGUGCUUAUUUACCUGAUGCAAUCGGCUGCUUGUUCCAUUUAAAACUCUCUCAAUGCUUACAGUGUUUGUGCUCCCGAGCAGCGCAGGGAGCAGUGGAAUGGGUGUGCCGUGCUGAAUGUGAGCCAUGCCUGCUGGGGCUUUCUUCCACAUGGGCAGAGAUGAAUUGUUUCAAAUUAUGUUCAUCCCACCUUAAAUAGUGGCUUUGAUACUUUGUCUGCGCUGCCUGAGGGAUUUGGGAAGCUACCCAGUGAUUGACUUGCCUGCGCUAGCUUUGAACUCAUUAGUAGGUCAAGUUUCUAAACCGAGCCUUGUUCUCAGCCUGUGUAAGGAGAACAAAAACAGAAAGGUCCCUGAGCACAAUGGAGGAAAGGGAAAAAAGAUGCUACGCUGCGAAAAAUCCACAAUAGUAACGUGGAUGUUGUAAUCAAGCUGUUCCUCUCCUCAGCGCAGCUCUCCACAAGUGUCUCCAAGCACACACCUCUCAAGCUCUGAAGGAUGUGAGGUCUUAAAAGCCUAAGAAGAGGUUAAAUAGUUAAUUGUGUCCCUUGAUCUGUGUAAAGAUGGAGUCACCUAAACCCUCUUCCUACAGCUGUCCCUAUAGUAAGAGAAACGCUGAAAUAAUAGCAGAGGAGAAAGUUAUCAAUGAGGUGCUCUUAGAUGAGUUUUGGAGAAGUUUUUCCCCAGUUUCCCCUGGGCAUUGUUGGAACGAUGUCAAUCUACGUAAGACCAAAUCGUCUGUAACUCUGUGUUCCCCAGCCAGAGGCUGUUAUCAUAUGGACAAAACAUUAAGGAGCAGCGAGAGCAAGUUAAAGAACAGUUUCCAGAUUUAAAUCUGAAUUUCAUUGUUGUACGAAAGUUUACCUCAGAACUUAAGAUGAUGGAAAAACUGAUUCUGACCUUUUAUGUUUGAUUGCAAAUCCCUCUGAACGCCAACGUGCUGGCCAAGUUCCAGCUCACAGAGGUAAUGGUUCUUGUUAGACUACACCCCUCCUGAGGCUUUAUUCAGUGAAUGUAGUGUAAUUACUGCCCUUCCCCUCAUAUACAUGUGUAUGGUUGCAUAGUGCUGUUCAGCCAAACUCCGUCCACAGUGGAGAUCUUCAUUUUAAUGAAGCCCAUAGAGCAUGCAUGUUCAGAUUUCUUUCUCUAAAUCAUUCCCAGAAAGGAACAGAAAGAGGGAAGAGCAGCUCUGCUUCCUACUGGAAGAAUGGGUUUGUGCUGACCUUGUGAAAGUUCUGCCUGAGGACGGGCAGAGGGGGGUAUGAGAGGAUCAGAAGAGUGAUCCCGGUGUGUUCACAUGCUACAACUCCCUACCCACAGCCGUAAGCAAACACAUAGGUUCCUCUGUACAACUUCCUGGGGAAACCUCGUUAAGUGGCUGAGAAAUGCACCUAGAAAAAGGAAGCACUUCUGGGCACACGCAAACACUUUCGAGAGCGUGGUUCUGUGACCUGGCAAGAACCCCGCACAAGGCUGCACAAACAGCCCGGAGUCCUGGUGUGCUGAGGAAGUCAUCAUCUUUCCCACGUGUGUGGUGAUCAGUGUGAGCCAUUUAUAACAGUUACCCUAAUAGUCACAACUCCAAGUAUGAGAAAGGGGGUGGGGAGUGAUGGCAGCUGCAGCUGCUGGCUGUGGAGAUGGGCACAGAAAAAUGUGCACCUAUUAAUGAGCAUACUAUAGGCUCCUAUUUUUUUUUUUUUACUAUUAUUUUUUGUAUAGAGAAUCUUGUGAUACUUGAGUUACUUUUUACUUCCUAAAGCACUUAAUAGGAUCGAAAUCUUCUGUAUGAACUUGUCUGAGUAUGGAGGACUGUAUGUAAAUGGCAUCUCUGGAAACAGCAUCUACAGUUGCUGUCCUGCUCCCUCCGCUUUGAGAGAUGUCUCGUGCAUUGUUGCUGACCCACAAAGCAGUAAUAUUGAGUAACUGUCACUGAAACGCUUCUGGUUUUGUCCUCUGAGAUGACGAGGGAAGUUCCACUCUGACAGUGCUGAGUGGGUUUUGAACACGUGCUGGAAGAAACCCCCCUGCACAGUGCUGCGGUCUCGGUUUGUGCACUUGACCUGAGCUGUCGGAGUUCCAGCGUUCGCUGAUGUGCACACAGUGCUUAAACUGGGGCCAUUGGGUGGGCGAAAUGGAUUGAGAAGACAGUCUGCUGAUUUCUCUCUAAACCUUUGUUUGUUGCCUUGUGCUCUCCACCCUACGAUUUCCUCCCUCUCAUCCUGUACAAAUGCUGAAUGGAAACUCUGCUCACACCCUCUUUUUCCAAGUGCUUUCCCAGGACUAUUCCAAGUGCUCUCACUCACCCAGUUCAUCUCCCUGUCCUGCUUGGGGGAUAAUGACCACCACAACAAACGUGUAAAGAAAGUGUGAUGAAGACAGAAGUAAAAUUAAAACUAGCAAGAUUUAAGACCAAAAAAUAUAUAUAUAUUUUGUGUUCAUUCUAGAUCUUGAUGAAUCUGUAGCAUUUUCAUCUGUGACUGGCAGGAGGAAACUCAGUACAUUCCUUUUCCUACCAAAGUACACGUACUUGUUUAGAUGUUACCUCUCCACUUCUGUUGAACAAGGUGAACCUUGGGUACAGUUCGACCAGCUACAGCAAGUACAACCCAUGCUUGUAAGCAGACUGCCAGAAAAGGAGAUGUCUGCAGAUGCUAGCCAACCAUUCAGCACUGCACACCAGGCCAGCAGGGCAAAUCUGUACACGCAUGUUUGGGAAUGUGCUAAACUCACUUUGUUGCACGCAGAAGUCAAUUUUGUCUUUUCAGCUGUAUUUAAUUUUGUUCUGUAAAGAAAUAGACAGAUCUGGCCUUUCUUUUUAAUAAUGUUUUAGGAUCAGGGUACAAAAACGGUUAAUGUAUUAAUUUUUAAGACAAGUGAUAAAUGUAAUGCAGUAAGCACAUCCUACAUACACAAUAUAUUUCUCUAUAUAAUAUGAACACAGAUAUAAAAUAAGUUAUACUUGUAUUGUUUUUUUCAUCACAGUAGGAGCUCAGCUUAUAUAAAGUGACAACAGGAAUUGGAACAAAAUGCUGCUUUAAAGCAACAAAAAACAGAAGUGUCCGUGCAGGGGUGUGUGAAACAAAGUAGGAAAUCUAGGUAUUUCUGUCAAAAUGGGGUCUUGAAAAGAGAAAUUUUAUAGAGCAUUCAAGAGACAGGGAAGGUCUCUUGGCUCAGGGUAGAGGUUCUGAAGGGAAUAAAGUGUUACUGUGUGGUGAGGAGGAAGGUAGAUGAA